RNAcentral lists this ribosomal RNA (941 nucleotides) under uncultured archaeon. RNAcentral describes it as "bacterial SSU rRNA". It matches the Rfam family "Archaeal small subunit ribosomal RNA", at positions 1 to 921 of the family's 1478-position model. The record is from RNAcentral.
UUCCGGUUGAUCCUGCCGGACCUCUGCUUCGGGGUGGGACUAAGACAUGCGUGUCGAACGACCCCUAGCCAUGAAGGGGACGUGGCAUACGGCUCAGUAACACGUGGCUAACCUACCCUUGAGACAGGGACAACCCCGGGAAACUGGGGCUAAUCCCCGAUAGAUGAGAACACCUGGAACGGGUUCUCGUCCAAAAGGCGCCUAGAUCACGCUUCUAGACGCUGCUCAAGGAUGGGGCCGCGGCCGAUCAGGCUGUUGGUGAGGCAAUGGCUCACCAAACCUUUAACCGGUACGGGCCGUGGGAGCGGGAGCCCGGAGAUGGGAACUGAGACAAGGUCCCAGGCCCUACGGGGCGCAGCAGUCGCGAAAACUUGUCAAUGCACGAAAGUGUGAACGGGCUACCCCGAGUGCCGUCCGCUGAGGAUGGCUUUUCUCUGCUGUAAGGAAGCGGAGGAAUAAGGCGAGGGCAAGUCUGGUGUCAGCCGCCGCGGUAAUACCAGCUCGCCGAGUGGUAGGGAUGAUUAUUGGGCUUAAAGCGUCCGUAGCCGGCCUCUCAAGUCUCUCGUUAAAUCCAGCGAUUCAAUCGUUGGACUGCGGGAGAUACUGUUAGGCUAGGAGGCGGGAGAAGCCGACGGUAUUUUCGGGGUAGGGGUAAAAUCCUAUAAUCCCGGGAAGACCACCAGUGGCGUAGGCGGUCGGCUAGCACGCGCUCGACGGUGAGGGACGAAAGCUGGGGGAGCGAACCGGAUUAGAUACCCGGGUAGUCCCAGCUGUAAACGAUGCUGGCUAGGUGUUGGAGCGGCUACGAGCCGCUCCAGUGCCGCAGGGAAGCCAUUAAGCCAGCCGCCUGGGGAGUACGGCCGCAAGGCUGAAACUUAAAGGAAUUGGCGGGGGAGCACCACAAGGGGUGAAGCUUGCGGUUUAAUUGGAUUCAACGCCGG